GAAAUGCGAAAAGUAAUGCGAAUUGCAGAAUUCAGCGAGUCAUCGAGUUUUUGAACGCACAUUGCGCCCCUUGGUAUUCCAUGGGGCAUGCCUGUUCGAGCGUCAUUUCAACCCUCAAGCACUGCUUGGUGUUGGGCGUUUGUCCCGCCUACGCGCGUGGACUCGCCUCAAAGUCAUUGGCAGCUGUUCCCCUUCGGCUCGUAAGCGCAGCACAGUCGGCGCCCGGAGCUCUGGUGGGAUGGCGUCCAGCAAGCUAUAUUUUCAGGCUUGACCUCGGAUCAGGUAGGGAUACCCGCUGAACUUAAGC
This 307-nucleotide unclassified non-coding RNA is filed under the name plant metagenome. RNAcentral describes it as "partial contains 5.8S ribosomal RNA, internal transcribed spacer 2, and large subunit ribosomal RNA". The stretch from base 1 to 105 matches the Rfam family "5.8S ribosomal RNA", at positions 50 to 154 of the family's 154-position model. The record is from RNAcentral.